AGCCACCACCCUCAUCUGAGGUCGAAUGUCCAUACAGGCACUCGAGCCCCCAUCUAGGUCUAUUCCACAUGCGGCCCUAGCUGGGAUUUUGGGAAGCCUAAACUUGCCAUUACAGUUUCCAAAGCCUUCGACUUUCACUCCCUAUCCACCACCGUCCCCGCCUAGAGAUGAGGGCCGUGAGGACGAUGCAGAGGAUGAUGGUGCUGAAUGAAUCUACAACAUUAUAGACUAAUGAAGGGAUUGGCGAAGUCAAGUCUAGGGGAG
Molecule: long non-coding RNA, 264 nt
Filed under: Panax ginseng (ginseng)
Lineage: Eukaryota; Viridiplantae; Streptophyta; Magnoliopsida; Apiales; Araliaceae
Description: long non-coding RNA (PGIN_LNC004329)
Source: RNAcentral